Molecule: ribosomal RNA, 465 nt
Filed under: uncultured bacterium
Lineage: Bacteria
Description: partial 16S ribosomal RNA
Rfam family: Bacterial small subunit ribosomal RNA
Source: RNAcentral
GAUGAACGCUGGCGGCGUGCUUAACACAUGCAAGUCGAACGGAAAGGCUCCUGCUUGCAGGGGUACUCGAGUGGCGAACGGGUGAGUAACACGUGGGUGGUCUGCCCUGCACUUCGGGAUAAGCCUGGGAAACUGGGUCUAAUACCGGAUAGGACGAAGGUUUGGAUGCCAUUGUGGAAAGUUUUUCGGUGUGGGAUGAGCUCGCGGCCUAUCAGCUUGUUGGUGGGGUAAUGGCCUACCAAGGCGUCGACGGGUAGCCGGCCUGAGAGGGUGUACGGCCACAUUGGGACUGAGAUACGGCCCAGACUCCUACGGGAGGCAGCAGUGGGGAAUAUUGCACAAUGGGCGCAAGCCUGAUGCAGCGACGCCGCGUGGGGGAUGACGGCCUUCGGGUUGUAAACUCCUUUCGCUAGGGACGAAGCGCAAGUGACGGUACCUGGAGAAGAAGCACCGGCUAACUACGUG